This 430-nucleotide ribosomal RNA is filed under the name Acidobacteriota bacterium. RNAcentral describes it as "Acidobacteria bacterium partial 16S ribosomal RNA". It matches the Rfam family "Bacterial small subunit ribosomal RNA", at positions 355 to 776 of the family's 1533-position model. Lineage: Bacteria; Pseudomonadati; Acidobacteriota. The record is from RNAcentral.
UGGGGAAUAUUGGACAAUGGGCGCAAGCCUGAUCCAGCCAUGCCGCGUGUGUGAAGAAGGCCUUCUGGUUGUAAAGCACUUUAAGCGAGGAGGAGGCUACUUGGAUUAAUACUUUAGGGUAGUGGACGUUACUCGCAGAAUAAGCACCGGCUAACUCUUUGCCAGCAGCCGCGGUAAUACAGAGGGUGCGAGCGUUAAUCGGAUUUACUGGGCGUAAAGCGUGCGUAGGCGGCUUCUUAAGUCGGAUGUGAAAUCCCUGAGCUUAACUUAGGAAUUGCAUUCGAUACUGGGAAGCUAGAGUAUGGGAGAGGAUGGUAGAAUUCCAGGUGUAGCGGUGAAAUGCGUAGAGAUCUGGAGGAAUACCGAUGGCGAAGGCAGCCAUCUGGCCUAAUACUGACGCUGAGGUACGAAAGCAUGGGGAGCAAACAGG